GCGCAAGAAAGAAGCUGGGGCUGGAAGCCAAACGAGCACACAACAUUAUUCACACCCCCGUGCCGUAAAGAAGUCCAUGCAGCAACACCAAAAAGAAGGCCGACGAGAACGACGCUACCAAGCAAAGAACAGAAAAAGCGUGCGGAGGCGGAUGAAAGAUUCCAGGGUCCAAAGAGAGAUACAGAAUCACAACCAUCAGCGCUAUUUCUCCAACAUCUCAUCACCUGGCAACAUCGAAAAUAAGUUCGGGAAAAAGCUUUUCCACAGCUGUGCGUAGCAAUUUUUUUUUUUUUUUUUUUUUUACAAUGUCUUCUUUGAGCAGGAGCCUCAGUGGGGCGUGGAAGAAUCAGACGAGACACCGCACUCCGCUUUGGGAUGGCAUUCCGCUCCGGUCGGCGCACGAUCGUGGCCGGAGGUGGGAGGAAUUUUUAAUCUGAGUUUCAGUUAAAUCCCAGAGUGCUGUGACGAAAAUCCAGCAUGUCUCAAAUGUAGUCCCCGCUCAUUUUCAAGUGAGUCGAGUCAUAACUUGGGGAGAAGCAGGUCACGCAUCAAGUAUUGCCCAGUCACAGCAUAAAUUUGCACAUUAGCCACUUUGUGCGCAGUACUCUGUAAUAACACCUUCAUAAUCAUCUCACUUUUGUUUUUGGACUUGUCAAGUCAAGUACAUUGUCAAAGUUGAUUCUUUAUAGGUUGUUUUUUUUUUUUUUUUGAGCCAAGCAAAUUCCAUCUUUGACUUAACCCAAACAUGUCAUGUGACAUGAGUCCGCCACCUCUACGAAUGAGGGGGCUUUGUUUCAAAGGGACGCGCCUGGAUUGAAUGAAAUGCCAUCCCACAGCAGUAUGUGACGAUUUUGAUUUUGUGCUCUUUUUACAGGACCCUUAGCAGCUUGAAUUUCUGGAAUUGACAAAAUAUCCAACUUGUUUGCAUAUUUUUACCCCCCCCCCC
Long non-coding RNA from Syngnathoides biaculeatus (alligator pipefish), 946 nucleotides. RefSeq lists it as uncharacterized. The transcript is spliced from 2 exons. The record is from RefSeq and is a predicted model, not a curated record. NCBI's taxonomy places the organism in Eukaryota, Metazoa, Chordata, Actinopteri, Syngnathiformes, Syngnathidae.